Molecule: long non-coding RNA, 3410 nt
Filed under: Gossypium barbadense (sea-island cotton)
Lineage: Eukaryota; Viridiplantae; Streptophyta; Magnoliopsida; Malvales; Malvaceae
Description: long non-coding RNA (GBAR_LNC011284)
Source: RNAcentral
ACGCAUAAAUUGGCUAAAGUAUGGUGAUAGGAAUACUGCUUUCUUUCAUAGUCAAGCCACACAUCGGAGAAGGAGAAAUUUGAUUCACAAAAUAAAGGAUUGGUAGGGAAGGGAAACAGAGAUUAUCCCAGAAAUAGAAGGCAUUGCACGGGCUUACUUUUAAAGGUUAUUUACAUCAAAAGGAAGGGGAAAUCAUAAUCAAUUUUUACUAGAAGUUGGCAGGUGUAUAUCUGAGGAGGAUAAUCAAUUGCUAAUGACAUCCUACACAAAGGACGAGAUUAAAGCCGCAGUGUUUGAGAUGGGACCCAUUAAAGCCCCAGGGGAAGAUGGAUUAUCGACAUUAUUUUAUCAAAAGUGUUGGCAUAUUAUGGGAGAGGAUGUCACCAAAUUCUACUUACGAACUCUAAAUGAGGAUAAGGAUUUCGAACAGGUAAAUUCUAUACACAUUGUGCUUAUUCCAAAAGUAUUCCAAAAGUUGCUGACCCCGUAAACAUGAUGUAGUUUAGACCAAUUAGCCUAUGUAAUGUGAUUUAUAAAAUCAUGGAGAAAGCUAUUGCCAAUAAGCUUAGAGGGGUUAUUGGGAAAUGUAUUAAUGUGGCACAAAGUGCUUUUGUACCAGGGAGAUUGAUCUUAGAUAAUAUUCUACUUGCUUAUGAAAUUCUUCACACGUUGAAACAGAAGCGAGUGGGGUAAAAAGGUUUUAUGGCAGUGGAACUUGAUAUGAGUAAAGCAUACGAUCGAGUUGAGUGAAAAUUUAUUGAAGAAAUAAUGAUUCGUAUGGGCUUUGCCUACUGGAUUGAGACUAUUAUGAAGUGCAUAAAUUCUGUUACCUAUUCGAUAAUAGUUAAUGGAUUUGAAGGGGAAAAUUUUCAACCGAUGAAGGGGCUGCACCAAAGGGAUCCACUCAGCCCUUUUAUGUUACUUAUAUGUGGGGAAGGCUUAGCUUGUCUAAUAAAUCGUGCAAUGCGUGAAGGGUUGUUGAAAGGUGUAAAAGCUAAGGAGUGGACCGCAGGUGUCGCACUUACUCUUCGCUGAUAACUGCAUUUUAUUUAGUGAAGUAACGAGUAGAGGAGCUAAUAUCUUAAAAGAAAUCCUUAGAAAGUACAAAAUGUGUUAAGGGCAAUGCGCUAAAUUUGACGACAAAUCAGUAGUCCUUUUUAGCAAGAAUACACCUGAUGUUGAUAGAAGAGUGGUGGGUAAUAUAUUGGGAGUACGAAGCUCGGGUGACCUAAAGUGUUACCUAGGAUUACCUAACAUGGUAGGCAAAAAGAAAAGGGAGUCAUUUCAGAUUUUAAAGAGGAUCGAAUUAAGCAACGCAUUGAUCAAUGAAGUACGAGACAUUUAUCACAAGGAGGGAAAGAAGUAUUUAUUAAGUCCAUACUCCUAGCCAUCCCAACUUACUCAAAGGCCUGUUUCCUUUUACCUAAGACAUUGUGCAGUGAGAUUGAGAAUAUUAUUGCCAAGUUUUGGUAGCAGAAGGGCCAUGGAAGAAGGGGUAUACACUGGUGUGCGUGGAGGAACCUUUGUACUUUGAAGGAAAAUAGAGGUAUUGGAUUUCAAAAUAUUAUUCAGUUUAAUAUCGCUAUGUUAGCUAAACAAGGGUGGCGACUCAUUAAUUAUCCAAAUUCCUUACUGGCAAAAGUUCUUAAAGCUAAGUAUUAUCCAAGUUCAGACUUUUUUAAUGCACAGUUGGGAAACUCACCAUCUCUUACCUAGAAGAGUGUCUAGGCUACAAAAGGAUUGUUACGAAGUGGGCUGAGUUGGAGAGUUGGAGAGUUGGAUGGGGAACUGGAAUCUCAGUAUGGAAUGAUCAGUGGGUACCAGGAAUUGAUACGAUUGUUAGGAGCCACGGAAACAACAAUGAAGUCCAAUUAGUUUUAGAUUUAAUUGAUGCAACAAAUAAUAUGUGGAAGAAAGAAUUAGUGCUAAGUACCUUCCCAGUAGACACUGCCCAAAAGAUUUUGCAAAUUCCUCUGGCGGAACUCCUAGGAGUUGAUUUUCAGGUGUGGAAGGGUGAGCUUUCUGGUGAGUUUUCGGUCAGAAGUGCUUACAAACUAUUACAAAUCACUAGCUCGAAUCCUAACGACUGAUUAUUACAAACCGAUUUAAAAAAUUUCUACAAAAAGCUCUGGAAUUUACAGCUCCCCUCAAAGAUUACUAUUAUAGUUUGGAGAGCAUCAUAGAACUAUAUGCCUACUCUAGUUAAUUUGCGAUCUAAACAAAUAGCCGACACUGCUGCUUGUCCUCGAUGUAGAUCUGGGGAGGAAGAUAUAUCUCAUGUCUUUCUGUAUUGUCUUGUAGCAAUAGAAGUUUGGCAAAUGUUAGAUCUUCCUUGGGUUAAUAACUUUUUGGUUCAAAGGUUCUGGGAAUGGCUUACUUGGAUUUUCCAAAAGAGCACUCCCAAACAAGGUCGAUUGAUUUGCUGUGGCAUAUGGGUCCUGUAGGGGUCAAGAAACAAGCUCAUGCAUGAAAGAAAAUUUGUGUCAGGAAGAGAGAUAGCAUCAAAAGUUCAAAGGUAUGUGGCCAAGAUUGAUGGUCUAACAGAAAAAAAGUGUACCUUGUAUACAGCUACGAGGGCCAUUCAAAUCAAAACGAGUUUUGGGAUGACGAUUCACUUUGAUGCUGCCUUUAAUCGAAGGGAUUUCAAAUCGAUGGCAGGCCUGGUGGUUCUAGAUCAUAUGAGAGUAAUCCUUGCUACGAAAACGGUCUUAAAUUCAAAUAUUUCAACUUCUUUUGCAACAGAAGCUUAUGCAGGUCUUCAUGCGAUUAAUCUUGGACUUUCCAUGGGUAUACACUCAGUUACGGUAAAGGGGGACUCACGAACCGUCAUAAAGAAAUGUCAAACAUCGAUGCAAGAUAAGUCAGUUAUAGGAGCAAUAAUCAGUGAUAUUCAAAAAAAGUCAAGAGUUUUUUCAAGAAAUCAGAUUCCAAUUUAUCAAUAGAACCGAGAACGUCUUGGCUCACAAAAUUGCAGAAGAAGCGCUAAGAAGGGGAGAAAAAACACACCUGGAAGGAGAGGUAUUACACCGCCUUUAUGUGCGCUCGGAGGGAAGAUAGAGUAGGCUCCCAAAUUGAGAAUGGCUUUUUGUGAAAGAUGAAAAAGAAUGGAUAGCAUACUAUGGAAGAAACUGAAAAGCUAUCAAAUGCAGCAGAUGGGUGUAUUGGAAAUGAAAGGACAAUUUGUAAAUGGUGUCCAGCUGCAAUCUGAUUCGACUAGUAAUUAGUACCCUAGGUUUCCUAUUUUCGUAGCUUUAAGUAUUCUGCUUUCCACUAGUUUUUGUCUCUCUUUUAUUUUUAUUUUUAUUUUUUCUUUAAUGGACAGGUUGGGGUAUACCCAAUAGGCCCAUAUUUUAGAACCCAAUUUCUGUUUUGUUUAAUUUUAAUUAAUGGCUACUCGAUUUUUAUUCAAA